UAAAGUGGUACGCGAGCUGGGUUUAGAACGUCGUGAGACAGUUCGGUCCCUAUCUGCCGUGGGCGCUGGAGAAUUGAGGGGGGCUGCUCCUAGUACGAGAGGACCGGAGUGGACGCAUCACUGGUGUUCGGGUUGUCAUGCCAAUGGCACUGCCCGGUAGCUAAAUGCGGAAGAGAUAAGUGCUGAAAGCAUCUAAGCACGAAACUUGCCCCGAGAUGAGUUCUCCCUGAGACUWUAAGUCUCCUGAAGGAACGUUGAAGACGACGACGUUGAUAGGUCGGGUGUGUAAGCGCAGCGAUGCGUUGAGCUAACCGAUACUAAUGAACCGUGAGGCUUAACCUU
RNAcentral lists this ribosomal RNA (342 nucleotides) under Enterobacter kobei. RNAcentral's name for it is "partial 23S ribosomal RNA". The record is from RNAcentral. Lineage: Bacteria; Pseudomonadati; Pseudomonadota; Gammaproteobacteria; Enterobacterales; Enterobacteriaceae.